This 708-nucleotide long non-coding RNA is filed under the name Panax ginseng (ginseng). RNAcentral's name for it is "long non-coding RNA (PGIN_LNC011209)". Lineage: Eukaryota; Viridiplantae; Streptophyta; Magnoliopsida; Apiales; Araliaceae. The record is from RNAcentral.
UAUACAAAUCAAAUCGGAUAGUACGCACGACACAUACGUCACUAAUCCGCCAAACAAAUCGAAUCAAAUCAAAUACUGGGUCGACCCAUACGUAUCCUGAACAAAUAUAUCAAAUGGCCAAAGCUCAUACCCAGAGCAUACAAAAGGAUACGCCGUGGACUAAUCACACCGCCACGGAAGGUGUCAUGCCCUUGUGUCAAGAGGACAUGCCUGUGGUACCCCCACAGGUGGUUAGCUCAAGUAUACCCUAAGGAUCAAACUACAAAAUGUAAGCCAAAAGGGGUUCAAAUCACAAGGCUUACAUGACCAUAUUCAAAUGAAAUUGAAUUAUCAAAUACAAACAUACCCAAUUAUUACAAGAUAUCAAUGAUCAAAACAACUCCGAGUGUGAACGAAAAUAUACGAACAAUGGUACAAACGAAUAAAGUCUCCAAAACAUAUUUACACGAUUAACUAGUUCAAAGAGUACAAAUACGAAUUCAAAUAUCAACGCCAAAACGAAACCAACUCAAUAAUUUUGACAACAAAGAAUAAUCCCAAGAGGCAAUACCAAAUUUCUAAACGAGUACAAAAUGAACGAAUUAAAUUUAAAGGAAUAUUGCUGAAAAAGUACGGAAUCCGUACCUUAAUAUAGUAUCGAAAUAAUUCGCCGAAGCUAAAUAUCGCCCGCUAAACUCCCUCAAUCCGAUCUAAUUAUCAAAAUAAAAU